GCCUGCCCAGUGAUUAUAUUAAACGGCCGCGGUAUCCUAACCGUGCAAAGGUAGCGCAAUCACUUGUUCUUUAAAUAAGGACUAGUAUGAAUGGCACCAUGAGGAUCGACUUGUCUCCUAUGGUAAGUCUAUGAAACUGAUCUUCCAGUACAAAAGCUGGAAUAAAACCACAAGACGAGAAGACCCUGUGGAGCUUCAAACGCCAAUCCACCCAAAAUGACAUUGCCGUUUUUAGUUGGGGCGACUUUGGAGAAAAACAAAACCUCCAAACUAAAAAAUUAGGUCAACGCACCCGAUAAUCUCACCUGACCCAAUAUAAUUGAACAAUGAACCAAGUUACCCCAGGGAUAACAGCGCAAUCCUCUUCUAGAGUCCUUAUCGACAGGAGGGUUUACGACCUCGAUGUUGGAUCCGGAUACCCAAAUAGUGCAGCCGCCAUUAAAGGUUCGUUUGUUCAACGAUUAAUAAUCCCACGUGAUCUGAGUUCAGACCGG
Molecule: ribosomal RNA, 494 nt
Filed under: Amphisbaena leeseri
Lineage: Eukaryota; Metazoa; Chordata; Lepidosauria; Squamata; Amphisbaenidae
Description: partial 16S ribosomal RNA
Rfam family: Bacterial large subunit ribosomal RNA
Source: RNAcentral